CACGUAGGGGGCAAGCGUUGUCCGGAUUUAUUGGGCGUAAAGAGCGCGCAGGCGGUCGUUCAAGUCGCGUGUGAAAGCCCCCGGCUCAACUGGGGAGGGUCACGCGAUACUGAUCGACUCGAAGGCAGGAGAGGGUAGUGGAAUUCCCGGUGUAGUGGUGAAAUGCGUAGAUAUCGGGAGGAACACCAGUGGCGAAGGCGACUACCUGGCCUGUUCUUGACGCUGAGGCGCGAAAGCUAGGGGAGCAAACGGG
RNAcentral lists this ribosomal RNA (253 nucleotides) under uncultured bacterium. Its description in RNAcentral is "partial 16S ribosomal RNA". It matches the Rfam family "Bacterial small subunit ribosomal RNA", at positions 524 to 776 of the family's 1533-position model. The record is from RNAcentral.